UUUAUUUUGCUUCCCAGACUGGAAACCACUGUAGUGCAGUUGGACUUGACGUCUAGCAACACAACAUCAGACUUUAAACAAGCAGACCCGGUGGCUUUGCAAGUUAGCGGCUGCAUUCACAGCCGUGGUGCCAGUGUGAGAGCGCCCGAGUAGCCCCUGCUGAGCUUGGGACUGCAGCAACAGGACAAAACACAUAAGAGGAAGAAAAAUACAAAGGGGGAGUAAGCCGGCAAAGGAGCAAGGAGAAUCAGAGGAGACGGCAUGUUGGUUAAAGUUGAGUUUAAAAGACAAGCCCGACUCUAGAGGAGAGACAUAUUGAUUCACCCUCUCAGCUCACAGAAGGUAAAGAGGCAGAGUUGCUCAUCCGUAGGUUGAAAGGUUGAUAGACAGCCAAGAAUUCAGGGUAUUGGUCAUGACUGCGGGCCUGCUGCUGGGAGGAUAGAGAUCAGAUUAAUAGCAUCUACAACGCAGCCUCCAUCCUGGUCUAACCCCACCUCUAAACAACCCGUCGAUCUCUCCCCCUCAGCCAUCACUGUAGUCCACAAAGUCCACUGUGACAAGAGAGCUGAACCCUCAUACGGGCUAGUUUACCAGGCUGCAGCGUCCUGUGAGAACAAAGAGUGACCUCACGAGCUGUCGCUGGAGCAGGGAAGAGACACUCACCCGCCGCGGGGCUUUAGAGACGGCGGCCUUUUAACCAAGCACAUGGGCUGUUGAUGAAGAAAGAUGGCAGUGAGACUGACAGGCGCCACCCCUUCCUCUCGGCCACCCUCCCUCCCCCCAGCGGCCGUGGCUCGGACCGGUUAAGGUUGGUCUGUUGGCAUCCAUCGCAGCAUCUGCAGCAGCUGGCAGAGCGUGGGAAGGAGCAGUAUGCAGGAAACUGAUGUACCGGCCACGAAUGCCUUCAAAGAGUGCAAAUUCCACUGCACCAAUGGGAAUUGCUUGCGUCUGGGCUCGCUGAUCUGCAACCAGCUGAAUAACUGUGGGGACAACAGCGAUGAGGAGAACUGCCCUGUGGUCACCCAACACCCUCCGCCGGGCAUCUUCAACUGAUCCCCGAGGCAGCGGAUGGUUUUGCACUGAAACAUCUCACAUGCGUUACUAAUGAAGACAGCAAACGUUUGUCAUUCUCUGUGAUCAAUGCUUUACUGAUCAGUCUGACGUGUGUUUAGAGCUUUAGAGUGGUGACAGCUGACAGCUGAUGGCUUUCAGUAGCAAAUGCAUUGUUGUUAAUUCGCCACAGAUCUCAACAUAACAUCUGCUAGUGUAUAUAACAGCGGGGGGCCUGCUGUGCUGCCAGGAGAUGUUUCUGUGACACGUUUAAGAUUGGCUGACUGACCUGAU
This is a long non-coding RNA of Pundamilia nyererei, 1344 nucleotides long. RefSeq lists it as uncharacterized. The record is from RefSeq and is a predicted model, not a curated record. NCBI's taxonomy places the organism in Eukaryota, Metazoa, Chordata, Actinopteri, Cichliformes, Cichlidae. The transcript is spliced from 4 exons.